Molecule: transfer RNA, 64 nt
Filed under: Zoodes fulguratus
Lineage: Eukaryota; Metazoa; Arthropoda; Insecta; Coleoptera; Cerambycidae
Description: tRNA-His
Source: RNAcentral
AUUCAAAUAGUUUAAAAAAAAUAUUAGUUUGUGGAACUGAAGAUAUAAUAUUUUAUUUUGAAUA